UUGAUCAUGGCUCAGGACGAACGCUGGCGGCGUGCCUAAUACAUGCAAGUCGAGCGAGCAGAACCAGCAGAUUUACUUCGGUAAUGACGCUGGGGACGCGAGCGGCGGAUGGGUGAGUAACACGUGGGGAACCUGCCCCAUAGUCUGGGAUACCACUUGGAAACAGGUGCUAAUACCGGAUAAGAAAGCAGAUCGCAUGAUCAGCUUAUAAAAGGCGGCGUAAGCUGUCGCUAUGGGAUGGCCCCGCGGUGCAUUAGCUAGUUGGUAAGGUAACGGCUUACCAAGGCAAUGAUGCAUAGCCGAGUUGAGAGACUGAUCGGCCACAUUGGGACUGAGACACGGCCCAAACUCCUACGGGAGGCAGCAGUAGGGAAUCUUCCACAAUGGACGCAAGUCUGAUGGAGCAACGCCGCGUGAGUGAAGAAGGUUUUCGGAUCGUAAAGCUCUGUUGUUGGUGAAGAAGGAUAGAGGUAGUAACUGGCCUUUAUUUGACGGUAAUCAACCAGAAAGUCACGGCUAACUACGUGCCAGCAGCCGCGGUAAUACGUAGGUGGCAAGCGUUGUCCGGAUUUAUUGGGCGUAAAGCGAGCGCAGGCGGAAGAAUAAGUCUGAUGUGAAAGCCCUCGGCUUAACCGAGGAACUGCAUCGGAAACUGUUUUUCUUGAGUGCAGAAGAGGAGAGUGGAAUUCCAUGUGUAGCGGUGGAAUGCGUAGAUAUAUGGAAGAACACCAGUGGCGAAGGCGACUCUCUGGUCUGCAACUGACGCUGAGGCUCGAAAGCAUGGGUAGCGAACAGGAUUAGAUACCCUGGUAGUCCAUGCCGUAAACGAUGAGUGCUAAGUGUUGGGAGGUUUCCGCCUCUCAGUGCUGCAGCUAACGCAUUAAGCACUCCGCCUGGGGAGUACGACCGCAAGGUUGAAACUCAAAGGAAUUGACGGGGGCCCGCACAAGCGGUGGAGCAUGUGGUUUAAUU
Molecule: ribosomal RNA, 972 nt
Filed under: Lactobacillus helveticus
Lineage: Bacteria; Bacillati; Bacillota; Bacilli; Lactobacillales; Lactobacillaceae
Description: bacterial SSU rRNA
Rfam family: Bacterial small subunit ribosomal RNA
Source: RNAcentral